RNAcentral lists this unclassified non-coding RNA (371 nucleotides) under soil metagenome. Its description in RNAcentral is "partial contains 5.8S ribosomal RNA, internal transcribed spacer 2, and large subunit ribosomal RNA". The stretch from base 1 to 120 matches the Rfam family "5.8S ribosomal RNA", at positions 35 to 154 of the family's 154-position model. The record is from RNAcentral.
GAUGAAGAACGCAGCGAAAUGCGAUAAGUAAUGUGAAUUGCAGAAUUCAGUGAAUCAUCGAGUUUUUGAACGCAUAUUGCGCCCUCUGGUAUUCCGGGGGGCAUGCCUGUUCGAGCGUCUCAGGGACGAACCCUCGCGCGGGUGUACGCGCGGUCGUGGCUGCGGUGGCGUGCCCGAGGCGGCGGCCACCGCGCUGGAAUCCAUGGGCGGACGCCUGCCGCGUGGCCGAGCGUGAUAUGACGCAUUGGCGCUCGCACGCGGCGAGGCUGCCAGCCCUGGCCCGUCUGUCGGGCGGGGGAGAGCAAGACACGUGAACUCCUCGAAUCAGGUAGGGAUACCCGCUGAACUUAAGCAUAUCAAUAAGCGGAGGA